Ictidomys tridecemlineatus (thirteen-lined ground squirrel) is the source of this 383-nucleotide non-coding RNA. NCBI's taxonomy places the organism in Eukaryota, Metazoa, Chordata, Mammalia, Rodentia, Sciuridae. The record is from RefSeq and is a predicted model, not a curated record.
UCCAGAGAAAGAGGAUUUAGGCCAACACCCUCCUGAAGAGUGCAGCUUUGAGUCAGAGCCCAGGAGUGGAGACUGGAUUGGAGAUCCCAUCCACCUGUCCAUGCCUCCGCCUGCCAUGCUGAUGAGGCUAUGGAUCCAGUAGUGAGACAGUGUGAUUACACUUAGAAGGAGGCCACAACUCUGACUGCUCUGAGCCACCAGAGAAGCUUUCCUGACAGAUGUGUCGGAUUGACCAAAAGACAAGAGGCUUUGAGGAGAUUAUGCUGUCUAGUUCCAUGCUUGGUCCCUGAGUCCCCCAAGGAAUAGAAGAUCAGAAAGUCUCACUGGGAGCGUCUGGAAAGGGCCAGAGUGAGGCAGAGUCUCACUGAGUUGCUUAGCACUUU